ACGACCUUACUUGAACAGGAUCUGUUCUAUAGGAUCGUACCGCUACAUCCUUUUACCAAAAAGGCAACCAACAUUUCAUUGCAAC
This 85-nucleotide small nucleolar RNA is filed under the name Brachypodium distachyon (stiff brome). RNAcentral describes it as "snoRNA Plant_U3". Lineage: Eukaryota; Viridiplantae; Streptophyta; Magnoliopsida; Poales; Poaceae. The record is from RNAcentral.